This 117-nucleotide small RNA is filed under the name Marmota monax (woodchuck). Lineage: Eukaryota; Metazoa; Chordata; Mammalia; Rodentia; Sciuridae. The record is from RNAcentral.
GCCGGGCGCAGUGGCGCACUCCUGUAAUCCAAGCGGCUCAGGAGGCUGAGACAGGAGGUUCAAAGCCAGCCUCAGCAAAGGCGAGGUACUAAGCAACUCAGUGAGACCCUGUCUCUA